AAACAAGAGAGUUUGAUCCUGGCUCAGGAUAAACGCUGGCGGCGCACAUAAGACAUGCAAGUCGAACGGACUUAACUCAUUCUUUUAGAUUGAGAGCGGUUAGUGGCGGACUGGUGAGUAACACGUAAGCAACCUGCCUAUUAGAGGGGAAUAACAGUGAGAAAUCAUUGCUAAUACCGCAUAAGCUAGAGACACCGCAUGGAGUAGCUAGAAAAGGAGAAAUCCGCUAAUAGAUGGGCUUGCGUCCGAUUAGCCAGUUGGUGGGGUAACGGCCUACCAAAGCGACGAUCGGUAGCCGAGCUGAGAGGCUCAACGGCCACAUUGGGACUGAGAUACGGCCCAGACUCCUACGGGAGGCAGCAGUCGGGAAUAUUGCGCAAUGGAGGAAACUCUGACGCAGUGACGCCGCGUAUAGGAAGAAGGUUUUCGGAUUGUAAACUAUUGUCGUUAGGGAAGAUACAAGACAGUACCUAAGGAGGAAGCCCCGGCUAACUAUGUGCCAGCAGCCGCGGUAAUACAUAGGGGGCAAGCGUUAUCCGGAUUUAUUGGGUGUAAAGGGUGCGUAGAUGGAGGAGCAAGUUGGUUGUGAAAUCCCUCGGCUCAACUGAGGAACUGCAACCAAAACUACUUCCCUUGAGUGUCGGAGAGGAAAGUGGAAUUCCUAGUGUAGCGGUGAAAUGCGUAGAUAUUAGGAGGAACACCAGUGGCGAAGGCGACUUUCUGGACGAUAACUGACAUUGAGGCACGAAAGUGUGGGGAGCAAACAGGAUUAGAUACCCUGGU
Molecule: ribosomal RNA, 783 nt
Filed under: Candidatus Scatovivens faecipullorum
Lineage: Bacteria; Bacillati; Bacillota; Clostridia; Eubacteriales; Clostridiaceae
Description: bacterial SSU rRNA
Rfam family: Bacterial small subunit ribosomal RNA
Source: RNAcentral